AUUGAACGCUGGCGGCAUGCUUUACACAUGCAAGUCGGACGGCAGCACAGAGAAGCUUGCUUCUUGGGUGGCGAGUGGCGAACGGGUGAGUAAUAUAUCGGAACGUACCGAGUAAUGGGGGAUAACUAAUCGAAAGAUUAGCUAAUACCGCAUAUUCUCUGAGGAAGAAAGCAGGGGACCUUCGGGCCUUGCGUUAUUCGAGCGGCCGAUAUCUGAUUAGCUAGUUGGUGGGGUAAAGGCCUACCAAGGCGACGAUCAGUAGCGGGUCUGAGAGGAUGAUCCGCCACACUGGGACUGAGACACGGCCCAGACUCCUACGGGAGGCAGCAGUGGGGAAUUUUGGACAAAGGGCGCAAGCCUGAUCCAGCCAUGCCGCGUGUCUGAAGAAGGCCUUCGGGUUGUAAAGGACUUUUGUCAGGGAAGAAAAGGCUGUUGCUAAUACCGACAGCUGAUGACGGUACCUGAAGAAUAAGCACCGGCUAACUACGUG
Molecule: ribosomal RNA, 490 nt
Filed under: uncultured bacterium
Lineage: Bacteria
Description: partial 16S ribosomal RNA
Rfam family: Bacterial small subunit ribosomal RNA
Source: RNAcentral